Molecule: ribosomal RNA, 253 nt
Filed under: uncultured bacterium
Lineage: Bacteria
Description: partial 16S ribosomal RNA
Rfam family: Bacterial small subunit ribosomal RNA
Source: RNAcentral
UACGUAGGGUGCAAGCGUUGUCCGGAAUUAUUGGGCGUAAAGAGCUCGUAGGCGGUUUGUCGCGUCUGCUGUGAAAACCCGAGGCUCAACCUCGGGCCUGCAGCCGAUACGGGCAGACUAGAGUUCGGCAGGGGAGACUGGAAUUCCUGGUGUAGCGGUGAAAUGCGCAGAUAUCAGGAGGAACACCGGUGGCGAAGGCGGGUCUCUGGGCCGAUACUGACGCUGAGGAGCGAAAGCGUGGGGAGCGAACAGG